GUGUUGUAUGAAAGGAGAGAAGGUUAGCACUCCCCUUGAUAAGGAUGAAAGAGGUCCUAAUGGCUUUAUAACACAUGUAUACAGUUAAGCCAUUGCAACCUACUCUUUGGCAUCUAACCAAGUUUUUUU
Trichosurus vulpecula (common brushtail) is the source of this 129-nucleotide small nuclear RNA. NCBI's taxonomy places the organism in Eukaryota, Metazoa, Chordata, Mammalia, Diprotodontia, Phalangeridae. The record is from RefSeq and is a predicted model, not a curated record.